Molecule: non-coding RNA, 188 nt
Organism: Mastigocladus laminosus
Lineage: Bacteria; Bacillati; Cyanobacteriota; Cyanophyceae; Nostocales; Hapalosiphonaceae
Source: Rfam
CAAAAUUAAAUAACAAAGCCGUAGACAGCAGGUGCCGUUGGCUUAAUAUCCUGCCGAGGUUUGAUCCAAAUUGCUUGAAGUUCCAUCCUUCUUUGGUGUGGUAGUUCUGGCAUCAGGAGAAGGGUGGUUUCAAAUCUACCUUUCAACUAAAACCCCGGCUUUUGCAGCUGGGGUUUAUUAAUUUCUAG